GUUUUUGUUUCUUUGGAGAAUCUUAAUAUAAGAUCUAUUCCUUUAUUUUAAAAUAAGAACAUUUACCUUUUCAUAUAUUAAAAAAAUUAAGAAACAAUCAAAUGAAAAUAACCAAAGAAGAAGCCAUCAAACAGAAAAACAAUUUAAAGCCACUACCGACACAAACCUGUAGUCCAGCAGUGUCAAAGCUCCUGUCGUUCUGGAUGCAUGAUACAUUCUUCAGUGCCUCCGUGCAGUGUGACAGGCUGGUCUGUCAUCUUGGGAUUCUCUUCCACUUUCCUUGCCUGGCUCUUCUUAGCUUCUCCAGGCAGGUUUUUAUGUGACCUUCUCUGUGCUCCCAUAACAUACUGUCCGUAUCUUUAUUUUGGCAGUUUCCAUACUGAAUGACAUUUAUUUACAUCUGCUUUUCUCAAAAGAUUUAAACUCCUUAAAGACUGGAACUCACAACCCUGGCACCCAUUGUGUCCUAAAUCAAUCUUGGUGGAAUGGAAUAGAUUUAUUCUAUAGCUGACUUCUCCCCAUUUAAUUCUUACUGCACACAGAAGGUAUACUCAAUUCCUCAAAAGAAAACCAAAUCCUGCUCCCUUCCUCCAAAGGAGAGGGGGAUUAUUUUAUGGGCUAUUUCAUGUGAGUCCCUGACAUCCAAGCAUUCUCUGUUCCUUCAUUUCCUUCCACAUCGAAGUGGUCUCCUAACUUUGAGCAGGAAGCCCAGGAGAGAAAUAUGGCUGACUCCUGGGGAUCUAAGAUCUUGCAGAGCAUUGGCGAUCCUGAAGGACUCAUGACCCAUGAGAGUAACAGCUAGUGUUAAACAUGUACACAAGGUGACUUCAUAGGAAGCCACUGCUUCUUGCUCUACUGAAAGUAAUGAAUGCAGAGAUCGUCACACUAAGACCAUCCCUGUUUUUCUUUAAACCUUUGGUGGAAUAGCCAAGGUCUUUCAUCAUGGACUGGGGGCUUCUUGAGGGCCAGGACUGUGCUCUUCUCUCCUUAGGGCUCCCAUUGUGUAAAAACAAUACAUAGAUAUAUAAAGGUCUGUUUCUCAUUAGCUAUUCUUAAAUAUUGCCUUGAGUUGAAUGGUAUGCUAGGAGUAUCUCAGCCUGGGUGCUCACUUCUCUGAAGUAUAGAGAAACAGAUGUGAUAAGUUAUAAGAGAAUCUAAGGAAGACCUUGUUCCUUCCUGAAAACUGAAUCUAUAACAUUAUUACCUAAUAUAACAAUGUAUAACAAUAUUACAUAACCAGAUACUUAAAGAAAGAUCACGAGAUUUAGUGUAAGAUGUAUGAAUCUAAAUUUUGCCUUUAGCACUUACUAUACGAUACUGGGAAAUUAUUUGACCUUUCUAGUCUCAUUUUCUCAUCUAUAAAUUAGGCCUCAUAAAUUCCUUCUUCAAAACAUUGUCGUGAGGUUUAAAUGAAUUAAAAUAUAUCAAGUGUCCAUAAACAGAAGUCUGUCAAUAAAAUCAUUGUUGAAUCUGAGUCUUCAACACCCUCUUUAUUAUAGGCAAUCACAGUUCUUUUUUUCCCCCACACUCUGUGCCAUAAACCUUGCCAAAACACUCAGACUAUAUUAACCCUGCAGUAAUAAAGAAAAAACAGCAAGCUCAUUUGGGAAACUUCCAAUAGCAAAAUCGUCUAUUAAAAUUUGAAAAUCAUAUAAAAACUGUAUGACCACAAUAGCCUCUUUCUCUUUUGCUUGGGAACCAGAGGUGAACAUCAUAUUUCCAGUUCUCAGCUUUUGCUGUUUGCUUCCAGAAAAGACAAGUGCUGGUUAUUAGGGCCUGUCAAUAAAUUCCAGAAGUGAAGCAAAUCUUACUCAACUGACUGACAGCUACAAAUUAAUUUUGCCUUCUUUAAACAACUAACCAGUUUCAUGUUUGUGCAGCUGACAAGACUCACUGUGCGCUCUCUUGGCCCAGCACAGCGUGCUCCGCCCAUCAUCAUGUAGUGGGAAUUAUUCUGCCUUCACUCAGCUUGUUAAUGGGAAGACAGUGCAAUCUGCUGAGCAUAGAGGACUUUAGCUUAGAAUUCUUCCUGUUCAGAGAUACACAGGCAUGCUAGGAGAUGUUUAUAGCAGAAAUGACCCCAUACUCGCAGGGGGACAACUCAGUUCUAUCUGCGAUUUCUUAUCACAGUUCAUUCAGCAGCAUUUGACCAAAUACUGUGUUAAAAGCUGAGAUGAAAAGAAAAAUACUAAAGAUGUCACAGGCUAACAGCAAGAAAGGCACAGAUGAGGACUAUUUGUUGUAAUUAUGAAACCUACAAUAGGCAGUGGGGACCCAAAGGAGAGGGGAGUUAUUUUCUGGGGAGAGGUUGGGGUGUAAAAAUACGUCUCCAAAGAGGUAACUAAUUUGUUGGUAUUUGUUUUCUUUUUUAAGCGAGGUACAACGUACAUACAAUAAUGCUGACAUUUCUUCAUUGUACAGCUCAAUAAAUUUUUGCAUAUGUGUAUACCCAUGUAAUUAUCUCCCAGUUCAAGAUAUUGGAUGUGGCAUUUUCAUCUCCCAAGAGGGCUUCUUGUGCUCCUUCUUACCUCCAGGAGUGGCUUCUUCGGCUCAACAUUUGUCUGUGAGAUCCAUCCCUGUGCAGUGCGCACCCGUCACUCUUUCUAUUGCUUUGAAGUAUUACAUUAUAGACACUGGCAUUUGAAGAAUGAGUACAAGUUGCUCCCAGCACCAUCAUGGACCCAAUACUGCUUCAGAGGUGUAGUGCUUGAUUUGCAGAAGUUUACUAGCCCAAUUAAGACCAGGACCUGCAGUGGAACAUGCUGCCUUCCUGUGACUGAGGUAUCUGGGCAAGGCUAUGGCACAAAGAGAGGACCUGAAAUUGAUGUUGCUUUUGUCAGAUGAUAUAUGUAAGUUUUUUCCCUCUGGCUAACGUGGUGAAACCCCGUCUCUACUAAAAAUACAAAAAAAAUUAGCCGGGCAUGGUGGUGGGCGCCUGUAGUCCCAGCUACUCGGGAGGCUGAGGCAGGAGAAUGGUGUGAACCUGGGAGGCGGAGCUUGC
This 3001-nucleotide long non-coding RNA is filed under the name Homo sapiens (human). Its description in RNAcentral is "HSALNT0165607". Lineage: Eukaryota; Metazoa; Chordata; Mammalia; Primates; Hominidae. The record is from RNAcentral.